Molecule: long non-coding RNA, 462 nt
Filed under: Pongo abelii (Sumatran orangutan)
Lineage: Eukaryota; Metazoa; Chordata; Mammalia; Primates; Hominidae
Description: lncRNA (ENSPPYG00000040340.1)
Source: RNAcentral
AUGCGGUGCCCAAAUGCCACUGGGUCCUCAGCAGUACCACCUGGUCAACAAAUACAAGGCACCUGGCCUCACAUGAAACUUUAUUCCUUUCCCUUGAGAUGUGACAUGAAAGAAAAUAUCAGAAAUGAUUUUUCCAUCCCAUCCUCAGGGACCAGUGGGAAUGAAUUUUACCAUCCCACCCUCAAGGGCCAGAUUGGAAGUGAUAUUGGUGGAAGACAACAUUUUGCCGCUUGGAAUUCUCACCUCCACACCAAAGAAGUACUGUUUUUGUCAUUUGCACGAGCUUCUUUCUCCAGGAAAGAUCAAAAUGAUGCACUGCAAGGGAAGCAAGAGAAUGAAUUAAAGAAAACUCCAGAGAAUGAGCUGACAACUUACUCCCUAGUCAGUGGCUCUCCAUGCCUACCUGUGGUCUCUUGGACACCCUUGCAGAAUAUGACUUCCUGGGAACUCUUCUGGAAGUGA